UAUGAAGCUCACUCUGAUAUUCUAAACUUUGAUGUAAAUGUUCAACCUUAAAAGUUCAGGUAACUCAAACAAAACAGCUGUUCAGGAGAGAAGAUAUUGAAUCGAUUUGAUAAUUAUAACAUUUUCUUUUUUUCAUGUAAGAUGUUACAGAGGCUUGGGACGGCAAAAAUGUUCAUGUUCUGCUGUCCAGAUUCGGACCAUACAAGCUGUUCUAUUGGGACAUCUGUAGGACAACUCCGGGUCAGGAACUUGAGAGUGAGGUAAGCUUCAGUAUUUUAUUCUCCUUUAGUUAACUCAUAUAACAAAGAAAUCUCCAAAUGCUAGUACACCAUAAGUUAACUGACUUCAUUUUCAAAUGGAUUUGCUUUCCCCAGGUGAUCAAUGCCACCCUGUUCAGAAUGGUCCAGAAGCACAAUUGCCAAGGGGGGAAAAAGGCACUUUGCAUUGAUACAUAUGCCAUGACCAAAAUUUGGAACAGGAAGACUUCAAUUCUAAGGAAGUGUGAUCCUUCAUUGUAUGGAGUCAUUCUGGGGGUAGUGAAUGAGCCAAAUCAUUGGAUACUCACAGUAAGUUAAACAUUAUCUUACGCUAUGUAUUCAUAUUUAAAUUUCCAAGGCACAUCCAUGAUUUUAUUAGGAUAUGUGAAUGUGACACAUGCACAAUGUGCUUAUCUACAUUUCUCUAGGUCAUCUUCCCCUCAGUCUUCUACUUUUCAGAGCAUUCAUGAGAGCGAGGGGCUGUACGGUGUCCAGGUGGAAAGCCAACACUGUGCCACAUAGCCUGCAGCAGGAUUCCACUUCAUGUGGAAUAUUUGCCAUCAAAGUAAGUUUUUGAAUUGCAUAUUUCUUUACGGAAACAUGAAGCAGAUUUUGAAAAGGUCUCCUUUUCAACAUUUAAACUCCUAGAGAGACAUAAAGUUGAUGAAUUUUGAUUAAGUUAAACUGGGCCAGUAUGUUUUGAAUAUUCAUUUAUUCAAACAUGUUCGUAGUAUGCUGAGAAAGUCCUGGCAGAGGAGUCUCCUACUUUCCCAAACACUGAAGGGGCAGUGGUUAAUUACAGGAGGGAAAUUGCUAGCACUUCUCAAUGAGACUGGUAUGUU
Molecule: long non-coding RNA, 1099 nt
Filed under: Gadus morhua (Atlantic cod)
Lineage: Eukaryota; Metazoa; Chordata; Actinopteri; Gadiformes; Gadidae
Description: lncRNA (ENSGMOG00000031538.1)
Source: RNAcentral